GCGGGCGGGAAGCGGCGCCCCUCAGCGCUGGGCUGCGCGCCCCCGUCCCCAACCCCGAGGCAGCGCCCUACCAGAAAGAGCAGGUAUCGUGGUGCUCAGGCUGCUCUUUGAGACACCUGCAGCAAGGCUGUUUCUUCAGGGGAUGUUAAGUCUGAGUAGCAGCCCAAAGAGUUCUCAUGUCCAACUUGAGCUGGUUAUCUUCCUCUUAAAACUGGGAAAUCACAGACAGAGUCUCAUCAGGUUUCUCUGCAAGAUGAGCUUUGUGUCAUCCAGACUGUCCUGGGUACCUCUUCUGUCACGACGUGCUGUCUGAGGGAAUGUGAGGACUUCAGCUGCUCACCUAAAAUUUCCAGAGACAGACCAAUUUGAUCUAUUUCUAGCAGUUGAAAAGUGCUCAGCUCUUUUUUUGGAAGUAGAUCCUUCAUGAGGUGGUUUUGCAAACACGAUCAAUUCACUCCAAGAAACCAAAACAAAGCCAUGGCGGUAGUCGCUGCUGGGAGCAAGAAAACAAUAGAAUGCAACCAGGAUAAUGGAGAGUGACCAUUAGGUCAGACCUAGAGCUUAUUCUGAGUGGCAAGUGAUGUUGAACAUAAGUAUUCUGUCCUCAGUUCAUGGAGAUUUAAACUCUACUUCCCUACCACCAGGUUUUAUGAUAGGUUGGAGUGAGGACAUGCCAUUGAAGCUCUCACCCAAUAUAGUAAAUGGUGCAAAAUUCAGGCAGUGAGAAGAAAGAAGAGUACAAGUCAUAUCUUGACUGCCACGAGUGGGGGGAUCACAAAUAGAAGGCAUCAGUUCCCAACUGCAGUCCCACCUCCUAGCAUUGCUGCUCAGUAGCACAUCAACAAGUUAAGACAACUUCUUGAAAACAGCUGUUCACUAAAUUAGUUCACCAGGUGCUCAUCUUCUUAUUUUGUCUGACAUGUCACACCAUCACAAUAGAAGCAGAUGGAUCCAUAAAAUCAGAUAUUUUUAUUAAUAUUCAAUGACUGUCGUAACUUGAAAUGCAGAAUUUCACUGUGCUUUUUUCUGAGGUUCUGAAAUGUUCCAAGAAAAUGUGGUCUACUUUAAUGAGACAUUACGAAAUGUAACUAUAAAAAUUAAAAACAACUUUAUCUUUUUCCAAAACAAGAUCUUUAUAAUUUCUACUUUGGAGCAAAUUUGGAAGACAGUUUUCAUUGCGGUUCAAACAAUAACAGUGUUUUCCACAAAACACAUUUCCUUUAGUUUUUAAACCACUUAUGAAAGAAACUCAUGAUGGGCAAUAAAAUAAUGCUGUAGCAGUAGCACAUACUGUAGAUGAGGUCAAAGUCUACUGCAGAAUCCAUGACUUCUAGCCUGUGUUCUGUCUCUGUACCAACUGCCCUUGCAAGAUCUCUCUCCUUCCACUCCUCUGGUGUCUGCAUAGGUUUCCUUCUCUUCUAGCUGGAAGAACACUGCACCAGAAGCAAAGAACACAUCCGCUCCCUCCUUCCCAAGAGCUAAUACUUGUUCUUUCCCCACAGUAGUAAUGCUAAGCAUUUGAGAUCAGCAGUCUCAGGAACUGAGAAUGGUAGAUGCUUGCAGAGCAGGGACAGUCCUGCCCAUUGAGAAAGUGGAUGAGAAACAUGGAGUUUCCAGCAACCUUCUGCAGCCACGGCCAUGAGAUAAAGUUCCCAAGGAACAUUUUACCGUCUUAGCAACUUUGGGCAGGGAAGGAAGAAAAGAAGGAGAAGGGGAACUCUACCCACAGCCAGAGCUACCUAAAAAUCUAUAGAAGUGCUUAUAAGAGGUUUAUUAUCAUUAGAAAAUACAUGAACAUAGAAUAUAUUUUUAUCUUAUAGGAGCUUCAGCAACACCAGUUGUUUUACUGACAGAACUACAUCUUUAGCUGAAAGCAGUAGUUCCGUUAGAUUGUUGCAGUCAUUUUUUGCUAUGCACUGGUUAGUAAGAUGUUUGGUAGAGUAUGCUGCAAGGGCAGUAGAUGGACUGAGAUGGGCUGAGCAGUGGCAUGCUCACAGCAUCCCCUUGAACACAAAAAUGGGCAUCACUCAUUAGCAGUGCUAACGCAGGACUGCUAGAAGAGGUCAGCCUAUCUUCCAUGGCAAACCCUGCAUCAAGUGAGAUGUUUGCACAGCCACAACCCUAGACCUACAGUUUUGUGUCACAUAAAUUCACGUUAUGUUCACUUAUGUGUGUACAAAUACAAAUAUAUGCAUUUACUGACAAUAAAAUCUCUUUGCUAUAGGCACAACGAACGAAACCAUUUAAAAUGCACCUUAAUGAAAUGCAUUUCAUACUUAUAUCAUUUUAUUUUAUGUCCCAUGGUAUUUGUAAGUGUCAUCAUUUUCAAUUUUAAAUACCUAAUAGGAACAAUUUUACAUCCAUUUCCUCUUUUUAUGAUUGCUGUACCUAUAAACAUAUAUGCAAUCCAUCUUUUUAAGUAAAGAUCUCCCAGAACUCGGGAAUAAAAUUGUUCCCAUCAAACAAAGAAUCUGUACCCACCACAGAGAAAUUCUCAUUCGUGCUGGAGAGUGUUUUGAUUGUUUACCAGUUGUUCCAUUUAAUUUCUAAAUGGUAGAAUUCAGAACUGUCUAUUGAAUGCCAGGGUAACAUUUGACUUUAGGUUUCUCAUUGAGUUUUAUUCUUUGUCUUUCCUAUAGAAAUAAAAAACUGCUAUUUAGAAACCUUAUUGUUCACAGAAAGCAAAUAGCCACAUAUUCCAAGGAACACUUCUUGCUCACACAGCCUUCCUUCUACAGGAACAAAGACAGCAAGAAUGACUUGCAUGUGUUGAUUUAC
Gallus gallus (chicken) is the source of this 2778-nucleotide long non-coding RNA. RefSeq lists it as uncharacterized. The record is from RefSeq and is a predicted model, not a curated record. Lineage: Eukaryota; Metazoa; Chordata; Aves; Galliformes; Phasianidae. The transcript has 3 exons.